UCAUUCGGAUUCGCCAUCAUACGUCCAACCGUGCAUUUGAUAUGCAUAUAUAUGCAUCACGAGCCACGCUUGGGUUGUAUGAUGGCGAUACCGAUUGG
RNAcentral lists this microRNA precursor (98 nucleotides) under Triticum aestivum (bread wheat). RNAcentral describes it as "MIR9666 microRNA precursor family". It matches the Rfam family "MIR9666 microRNA precursor family". RNAcentral also lists the same sequence under 1 other name. The record is from Rfam by way of RNAcentral. Lineage: Eukaryota; Viridiplantae; Streptophyta; Magnoliopsida; Poales; Poaceae.